This is a non-coding RNA of Leucogyrophana mollusca, 108 nucleotides long. The record is from the annotation of a GenBank genome assembly. Lineage: Eukaryota; Fungi; Basidiomycota; Agaricomycetes; Boletales.
GGCGCUAUAGUGUAGUGGUUAUCACUCGAGAUUCUGAUCGUUUCUCAUCAUCACGUGAUGAGGGCUAAGCAUCUUCUCGAAACCCAGGUUCGAUCCCUGGUAGCGCCU